UACGGGGGGGGCGAGCGUUGUUCGGAAUUACUGGGCGUAAAGGGCUCGUAGGCGGCCAACUAAGUCAGACGUGAAAUCCCUCGGCUUAACCGGGGAACUGCGUCUGAUACUGGAUGGCUUGAGGUUGGGAGAGGGAUGCGGAAUUCCAGGUGUAGCGGUGAAAUGCGUAGAUAUCUGGAGGAACACCGGUGGCGAAGGCGGCAUCCUGGACCAAUUCUGACGCUGAGGAGCGAAAGCCAGGGGAGCAAACGGG
Molecule: ribosomal RNA, 253 nt
Filed under: uncultured bacterium
Lineage: Bacteria
Description: partial 16S ribosomal RNA
Rfam family: Bacterial small subunit ribosomal RNA
Source: RNAcentral